RNAcentral lists this ribosomal RNA (468 nucleotides) under uncultured bacterium. RNAcentral's name for it is "partial 16S ribosomal RNA". It matches the Rfam family "Bacterial small subunit ribosomal RNA", at positions 28 to 507 of the family's 1533-position model. The record is from RNAcentral.
GACGAACGCUGGCGGCGUGCUUAACACGUGCAAGUCGAACGGAAAGGUCCUGCUUUUGUGGGGUGCUCGAGUGGCGAACGGGUGAGUAACACGUGAGUAACCUGCCCUUGACUUUGGGAUAACUUCAGGAAACUGGGGCUAAUACCGGAUAGGAGCUCCUGCUGCAUGGUGGGGGUUGGAAAGUUUCGGCGGUUGGGGAUGGACUCGCGGCUUAUCAGCUUGUUGGUGGGGUAGUGGCUUACCAAGGCUUUGACGGGUAGCCGGCCUGAGAGGGUGACCGGCCACAUUGGGACUGAGAUACGGCCCAGACUCCUACGGGAGGCAGCAGUGGGGAAUAUUGCACAAUGGGCGGAAGCCUGAUGCAGCAACGCCGCGUGCGGGAUGACGGCCUUCGGGUUGUAAACCGCUUUCGCCUGUGACGAAGCGUGAGUGACGGUAAUGGGUAAAGAAGCACCGGCUAACUACGUG